UCAAAUUUAAUACUGUCCAUUAUACAGUGACCCACUUCUAACCUACUGUACAGCAGAGCGACAUCCACUUACCCACCUUUUUAAUUUUAAAUAUACCUACAGAUAACUUUAACAUUAUGGAAUGAAUUUGCGACUAAUUUCAUGGGCAAACUAAAUACCAAAAUAACCUUACGGACUACCAAAAUUAGUGACUACAAAAAUCAAAGAUAUUUAAAAUUGAAUCGACAAUCAAUAGUUUCCUAUGACGUAGACAAAACAACUAACAUAGAAUUUGAAGAAUGGUUUAAUAGAAAAUAUAAUAAAGGAUGAUUAUUUGAUGAUGUGAAAGGGCAUGAUAUGCCAUAACAUGAUAUUACACUUCUGGAAAAAAAAAAAAAAUAUUUAAUAAAUAACUUUUCAAUUUUC
Long non-coding RNA from Acyrthosiphon pisum (pea aphid), 405 nucleotides. RefSeq lists it as uncharacterized. The record is from RefSeq and is a predicted model, not a curated record. Lineage: Eukaryota; Metazoa; Arthropoda; Insecta; Hemiptera; Aphididae. The transcript has 2 exons.